This 1021-nucleotide ribosomal RNA is filed under the name Phyllosticta abieticola. RNAcentral's name for it is "SSU rRNA". It matches the Rfam family "Eukaryotic small subunit ribosomal RNA", at positions 75 to 1105 of the family's 1831-position model. Lineage: Eukaryota; Fungi; Ascomycota; Dothideomycetes; Botryosphaeriales; Phyllostictaceae. The record is from RNAcentral.
UAUACUGUGAACUGCGAAUGGCUCAUUAAAUCAGUUAUCGUUUAUUUGAUAGUACCUUACUACUUGGAUAACCGUGGUAAUUCUAGAGCUAAUACAUGCUAAAAACCCCGACUUCGGAAGGGGUGUAUUUAUUAGAUAAAAAACCAAUGCCCUUCGGGGCUCCUUGGUGAUUCAUGAUAACUUAACGAAUCGCAUGGCCUUGCGCCGGCGAUGGUUCAUUCAAAUUUCUGCCCUAUCAACUUUCGAUGGUAGGAUAGUGGCCUACCAUGGUAGCAACGGGUAACGGGGAAUUAGGGUUCUAUUCCGGAGAGGGAGCCUGAGAAACGGCUACCACAUCCAAGGAAGGCAGCAGGCGCGCAAAUUACCCAAUCCCGACACGGGGAGGUAGUGACAAUAAAUACUGAUACAGGGCUCUUUCGAGUCUUGUAAUUGGAAUGAGUACAAUUUAAAUACCUUAACGAGGAACAAUUGGAGGGCAAGUCUGGUGCCAGCAGCCGCGGUAAUUCCAGCUCCAAUAGCGUAUAUUAAAGUUGUUGCAGUUAAAAAGCUCGUAGUUGAACCUUGGGCCUGGCUGGCCGGUCCGCCUCACCGCGUGUACUGGUCCGGCCGGGCCUUUCCUUCUGGGGAUCCGCAUGCCCUUCACUGGGUGUGUCGGGGAACCAGGACUUUUACUUUGAAAAAAUUAGAGUGUUCAAAGCAGGCCUUUGCUCGAAUACAUUAGCAUGGAAUAAUAGAAUAGGACGUGCGGUCCUAUUUUGUUGGUUUCUAGGACCGCCGUAAUGAUUAAUAGGGAUAGUCGGGGGCAUCAGUAUUCAAUUGUCAGAGGUGAAAUUCUUGGAUUUAUUGAAGACUAACUACUGCGAAAGCAUUUGCCAAGGAUGUUUUCAUUAAUCAGUGAACGAAAGUUAGGGGAUCGAAGACGAUCAGAUACCGUCGUAGUCUUAACCGUAAACUAUGCCGACUAGGGAUCGGGCGAUGUUAUUAUUUUGACUCGCUCGGCACCUUACGAGAAAUCAAAGUC